AUGUUGAACCUCAUGUAUUAUACGCACUUGUACCGUAGGGUAGUAGUAGCAGACGUGGGUGCAGUUUUGUUAGUCAAAGCGCACACGAUCGCCUCCUCUCGAACGCGGCCUGGCCACGAUCACCAUCGUGCGCCCACGCCCGCUGUUCCCCUCUGUAUAAGUGUCCUACUGAUGCAAUGCGAUCGCUGUGUUCGAUCCUCUUCCUUCUCUCUCUCGUCAACAUGGUAUCAGACGCCGAAGAAGCCAAUCCCUUCGCGCCCAACCACCCUCCCUCUUCCGCUGCCAUGGACACCAAUCCCCUCACCUCUCCCCACUCCUCUGACGAUGAUGCGCCGCACACCGCCGGCGUUCUCCACACUGCCCUCGCUGACGCUGCGGCCGCGGCUCCGGUCGUUGCCCCGCCUUCGCUGGCCCCUGGCGCAUUUCCAUCCUCGGUGCUGCAGACGAUCGAUAUUCGUCAUCACGUCCCCAUCACCCUGGACCUGCACGCCGGCAACUACGGCCAGUGGCGGCGCUUCUUCUUCACCAUCGUCGGCAUGUUUGGCAUUGGCGACCACCUCGUCGCCCCAACCGCUCCUCGCCGUCGCGAUCCCGAGUGGGUCAUGGUCGACCACUGCGUCGUCCACUGGCUCUUCUUCCGUGUUCUGCAUGUCCCCACGCGACUCGACUAAGUCGCUGCAAUGGGUGGAGGAGAAGAGCGUUGUGUUCAUAAAAGGUUGUGGCUAA
This 726-nucleotide ribosomal RNA is filed under the name Triticum aestivum (bread wheat). RNAcentral's name for it is "partial small subunit ribosomal RNA". Lineage: Eukaryota; Viridiplantae; Streptophyta; Magnoliopsida; Poales; Poaceae. The record is from RNAcentral.